AGCAGCAGCCGCGGGAAAACGGAGGGUGCAAGCGUUAAUCGGAAUGACUGGGCGUAAAGGGCGCGUAGGCGGCGAUCAAAGUCAGGCGUGAAAUUCCUGGGCUCAACCUGGGGGCUGCGCUUGAUACUUGGUUGCUUGAGUGGGGAAGAGGGUCGUGGAAUUCCCAGUGUAGAGGUGAAAUUCGUAGAUAUUGGGAAGAACACCGGUGGCGAAGGCGGCGACCUGGUCCUUGACUGACGCUGAGGCGCGAAAGCGUGGGGAGCAAACAGGAUUAGAUACCCCGGUAGUCCCUGUCUCUUAUAC
This 303-nucleotide ribosomal RNA is filed under the name uncultured bacterium. RNAcentral's name for it is "partial 16S ribosomal RNA". It matches the Rfam family "Bacterial small subunit ribosomal RNA", at positions 507 to 807 of the family's 1533-position model. The record is from RNAcentral.